AAUUUUGUGUGUGUGUGAUGGAGUCAGGGUUUUGGAACUGUGACCUCUCUUUUUGUGUUUCAGAACUGGUCUCUCCUACUGUGGGUUUUUUUUAAAGAUUGGCACCUGAGCUAACAUCUGUUGCCAAUCUUUUUUUUUUUCCUUCUUCUUCUUCUCCCCAAAGCUCCCCCAGCACAUGGUUGUGUAUUCUAGUUGUGAGUGCCUAUGGUUGUGCUGUGUGGGACGUGCCUCAGCAUGGCUUGAUGAGGGUGCCAUGUCCGCGCACAGGAUCCGAACCAGCGAAACCCUGGGCUGCUGAAGUGGAGCGCGCGAACUUAACUGCUCGGCCACGGGGCUGGCCCCUGUGGCUUUUUCUUUUUACAAAGGUAUUCUUUUACAUUCAGACGUGGAGCACGAACUCUACCAGUGCAUCCAUAUGAUAUAGAAAAAGACUGGCAAAACAUCCUUUAAAAUAUGACUGACAGCAGGAAUAACUGAUGGGAUCCCACCGGCCCCAAGGCUUUGUUGAAUGGAACCGUGAGUGAGAAUGUAAACUCUCGAGCCCAAGGCUUUCCACGGAAUUCCCUUUGGACUGGUUCAUUCUUUUUGCUCAACAUGAGAAAACAGCAGGAGUUAUUGGUUGGACUGCGUGAUGAGCCAGAUUGUCUGGGGGCAAGGCAGGCUGGGUAGGGGAGAGGAAACAACCCUAUGGACUGUGAUAAAGGAAUGUAUGAAGUUUUAUAAAAACAUAGAUAAAUAAU
RNAcentral lists this long non-coding RNA (740 nucleotides) under Equus caballus (horse). RNAcentral's name for it is "lncRNA (ENSECAG00000046873.1)". Lineage: Eukaryota; Metazoa; Chordata; Mammalia; Perissodactyla; Equidae. The record is from RNAcentral.